Molecule: ribosomal RNA, 484 nt
Filed under: uncultured bacterium
Lineage: Bacteria
Description: partial 16S ribosomal RNA
Rfam family: Bacterial small subunit ribosomal RNA
Source: RNAcentral
AUUGAACGCUGGCGGCAGGCCUAACACAUGCAAGUCGAGCGGAUGAAGGGAGCUUGCUCCUGGAUUCAGCGGCGGACGGGUGAGUAAUGCCUAGGAAUCUGCCUGGUAGUGGGGGAUAACGUCCGGAAACGGGCGCUAAUACCGCAUACGUCCUGAGGGAGAAAGUGGGGGAUCUUCGGACCUCACGCUAUCAGAUGAGCCUAGGUCGGAUUAGCUAGUUGGUGGGGUAAAGGCCUACCAAGGCGACGAUCCGUAACUGGUCUGAGAGGAUGAUCAGUCACACUGGAACUGAGACACGGUCCAGACGCCUACGGGAGGCAGCAGUGGGGAAUAUUGGACAAUGGGCGAAAGCCUGAUCCAGCCAUGCCGCGUGUGUGAAGAAGGUCUUCGGAUUGUAAAGCACUUUAAGUUGGGAGGAAGGGCAGUAAGUUAAUACCUUGCUGUUUCGACGUUACCAACAGAAUAAGCACCGGCUAACUUCGUG